CAACGCCGCGUGAGUGAUGAAGGUUUUCGGAUCGUAAAGCUCUGUUGUUAGGGAAGAACAAGUGCCGUUCGAAUAGGUCGGCACCUUGACGGUACCUAACCAGAAAGCCACGGCUAACUACGUGCCAGCAGCCGCGGUAAUACGUAGGUGGCAAGCGUUGUCCGGAAUUAUUGGGCGUAAAGCGCGCGCAGGCGGUCUUUUAAGUCUGAUGUGAAAGCCCACGGCUCAACCGUGGAGGGUCAUUGGAAACUGGGAGACUUGAGUACAGAAGAGGAGAGUGGAAUUCCACGUGUAGCGGUGAAAUGCGUAGAUAUGUGGAGGAACACCAGUGGCGAAGGCGACUCUCUGGUCUGUAACUGACGCUGAGGCGCGAAAGCGUGGGGAGCAAACAGGAUUAGAUACCCUGGUAGUCCACGCCGUAAACGAAGAGUGCUAGGUGUUAGGGGUUUCGAUGCCCUUAGUGCCGAAGUUAACACAUUAAGCACUCCGCCUGGGGAGUACGACCGCAAGGUUG
This 514-nucleotide ribosomal RNA is filed under the name uncultured Bacillota bacterium. Its description in RNAcentral is "bacterial SSU rRNA". It matches the Rfam family "Bacterial small subunit ribosomal RNA", at positions 392 to 896 of the family's 1533-position model. The record is from RNAcentral. Lineage: Bacteria; Bacillati; Bacillota.